Pseudopipra pipra is the source of this 718-nucleotide long non-coding RNA. RefSeq lists it as uncharacterized. Lineage: Eukaryota; Metazoa; Chordata; Aves; Passeriformes; Pipridae. The record is from RefSeq and is a predicted model, not a curated record. The transcript is spliced from 3 exons.
AUAGGGAGUUACGGGGGGAGGCACAAAGAGGGGUUGCUGUAGGGCACAGGGGGAUGCAGGUGGAGGCACAGAUUGGGGGUGCGACAGGGGUGUAACGGGGGUACAAAGGGACCGCGGGGGUGCCCCCCUCCCUCCCCGCCCCGGCUCACGAUGCGCUCCUUGCUGUGCUCGGGCUCGCAGAUCACCACGCUCUGCCCGCGGGCCCCUCCGCCCGCGCCGGGCCCCGCCGCGGCCCCGCCGGGCCUGCCGGGCCUGCGGGCCCGGGGCUGCCGUCCCGCGGCCGCCGCUCCCGGGGCGCCUCGUCCUCGCUGCUGCCGCCGCUGCUGCCGCCGCGCCGGGCCGGGGCCGCCGCCGGGCCCCGCCGCCGCCUCCCCGGGCCGCCGCCGCCCGCCCGGGCCCGGCCCCGCGCCGGGAGCCGCGUCCCACGGCGGCCCCGCCGCCUUCCUGCGGGGCAUCGCUGGGGGGGACACAGCGGGCGAAAGGUGCAGCAUAAAGAAAGCAACAACUCGGGGCCUUUGCACUAUUUUUGGUGGUGGUUCCUGUUGCAGGAAAAAAAAAAAAAAAGGAGAAAAGUCCCUUUAUUACAUCGAGGGAUUUUGCAGGAGGGGAACAUGUGGUGCCUUUGGAAUUUGUGAUGAAUUGGGAAUAUUUGACCAAUUUGCAAUAUUUGAUUGAUUUAAAAAAUGUAAUUUAUUGAAAAUAUUUGAUUAAUCCUCAA